This 21-nucleotide microRNA is filed under the name Picea abies (Norway spruce). Its description in RNAcentral is "pab-miR159k". Its record names the gene pab-miR159e. The record is from miRBase by way of RNAcentral. Lineage: Eukaryota; Viridiplantae; Streptophyta; Pinopsida; Pinales; Pinaceae.
CUUGGAUUCAAGGGAGCUCCU